This is a long non-coding RNA of Lagopus leucura (white-tailed ptarmigan), 654 nucleotides long. RefSeq lists it as uncharacterized. The transcript has 3 exons. The record is from RefSeq and is a predicted model, not a curated record. NCBI's taxonomy places the organism in Eukaryota, Metazoa, Chordata, Aves, Galliformes, Phasianidae.
UGCCGUGCAGCACUGAGUGUGGAGCCAAGGGACGUUGUGCAGAGAACUGACUGCUCACCGCUUCGUACAGAGCCCUCAGGAAGUUGAUCUCAUCUGCCAGCCCAUCUGCUUUGGCCUGCAGUUCCACCUUGUUCAUGUGAUAUUUUGGGAAGCCCAAGGGUUCAGACCAUGGCUCCAUGACAGUGCAUGAGCAUGUCCUGUGCUAAAUGCCAAACCCGUGUACAAGAAACCCAACAUGAAUAGAGAGCGCAAUCUCUUACUUGUUCUUGAAGUCCUCCACCAUGUCUUGCAUGCUCCGCAGCUCCGAGUCCAGCCGUCCCCUCUCCCCCAUCAGGCUGUCCAGCUGCCGCCUCAGGUUGUUGAUGUAGGACUCGAAGAGGGGCUCCAGGGACUUCCUGGUGACCGUGUGGCCCUGCUCUUGCAGGAGGCUCCAUUUGGUCUCCAGCACUUUGUUCUGCUGCUCCAGGAAACGCACCUGGGGAAACAAAAAAUGACUGUAACCCACCAGAAAGAGAAGAGGGAGAGCAUGGAAUGAGGAUCUUCCCACAGGAAUUCAGGGCACUGAAUUCUCCAAAGAAGCACAAACAGCUUAGGGAGAAUUUUCAAGAGUUAUCAAGCUGCCAAGCAUCCGCGUUUGCAAUUCUACGUGUUUCU